UACAGAGGGGGCAAGCGUUAUUCGGAAUUAUUGGGCGUAAAGGGCGCGUAGGCGGAUCGUUCAGUCGGGGGUGAAAUCCCAGGGCUCAACCCUGGGACUGCCUUUGAUACUGGCGGUCUGGAGAUCGGGAGAGGUGAGUGGAAUUCCGAGUGUAGAGGUGAAAUUCGUAGAUAUUCGGAGGAACACCAGAAGCGAAGGCGGCUCACUGGCCCGAGACUGACGCUGAGGCGCGAAAGCGUGGAGAGCAAACAGG
RNAcentral lists this ribosomal RNA (253 nucleotides) under uncultured bacterium. Its description in RNAcentral is "partial 16S ribosomal RNA". It matches the Rfam family "Bacterial small subunit ribosomal RNA", at positions 524 to 776 of the family's 1533-position model. The record is from RNAcentral.